This is a non-coding RNA of Potamilus streckersoni, 72 nucleotides long. NCBI's taxonomy places the organism in Eukaryota, Metazoa, Mollusca, Bivalvia, Unionida, Unionidae. The record is from the annotation of a GenBank genome assembly.
GCUCAGUGGCCUAAUGGUUAGAGCGUCCGCCUCGGAUGCGGAAGGUUACGGAUUUCGAACCCGGCGUAGUCA